Molecule: ribosomal RNA, 433 nt
Filed under: uncultured bacterium
Lineage: Bacteria
Description: partial 16S ribosomal RNA
Rfam family: Bacterial small subunit ribosomal RNA
Source: RNAcentral
AACGAACGCUGGCGGCAUGCCUAACACAUGCAAGUCGAACGAUGCCUUCGGGCAUAGUGGCGCACGGGUGCGUAACGCGUGGGAAUCUGCCUUUCGGUUCGGAAUAACUCAGGGAAACUUGAGCUAAUACCGGAUAACGUCGCAAGACCAAAGACUUAUCACCGAAAGAUGAGCCCGCGUAGGAUUAGCUAGUUGGUGAGGUAAAGGCUCACCAAGGCGACGAUCCUUAGCUGGUCUGAGAGGAUGAUCAGCCACACUGGGACUGAGACACGGCCCAGACUCCUACGGGAGGCAGCAGUGGGGAAUAUUGGACAAUGGGCGAAAGCCUGAUCCAGCAAUGCCGCGUGAGUGAUGAAGGCCUUAGGGUUGUAAAGCUCUUUUACCCGGGAAGAUAAUGACGGUACCGGGAGAAUAAGCCCCGGCUAACUCCGUG